UAAUACGUAGGAUCCAAGCGUUGUCCGGAUUUACUGGGUAUAAAGGGUGCGCAGGCGGGCUUGUGCGUCAGAGGUUAAAUACUUCGGCUCAACCGAAGAAAUGCCUUUGAUACGGCAAGUCUUGAGUGCGAGAGAGGAUGGUAGAAUUCCUGGUGUAGCGGUGAAAUGCGUAGAUAUCAGGAGGAAUACCAGUGGCGAAGGCGGCCAUCUGGCUCGCAACUGACGCUUAGGCACGAAAGCGUGGGGAGCAAACAGGAUUAGAUACCCUGGUAGUCCACGCCCUAAACGAUGUAUGCUUGGUGUUGGGAGCUUGCUCUCAGUGCCGGAGGAAACCCAUUAAGCAUACCACCUGGGGAGUACGAUCGCAAGGUUGAAACUUAAAUGAAUUGACGG
RNAcentral lists this ribosomal RNA (393 nucleotides) under uncultured bacterium. RNAcentral describes it as "bacterial SSU rRNA". It matches the Rfam family "Bacterial small subunit ribosomal RNA", at positions 521 to 916 of the family's 1533-position model. The record is from RNAcentral.